GUGAGGAAUAUUGGUCAAUGGGCGAGAGCCUGAACCAGCCAAGUCGCGUGAAGGAUGAAGGUUUUAUGAAUUGUAAACUUCUUUUGCAGGGGAAUAAAGUACGGUACGUGUACCGUUUUGUAUGUACUCUGCGAAUAAGGAUCGGCUAACUCCGUGCCAGCAGCCGCGGUAAUACGGAGGAUCCAAGCGUUAUCCGGAUUUAUUGGGUUUAAAGGGUGCGCAGGCGGGUUGAUAAGUCAGCGGUGAAAGUUUGCAGCUUAACUGUAAAAUUGCCGUUGAAACUGUCGAUCUUGAGUGCAAAUGAGGUAGGCGGAAUGUGUUGUGUAGCGGUGAAAUGCUUAGAUAUAACACAGAACUCCGAUUGCGAAGGCAGCUUACUGGGAUGCAACUGACACUGAUGCACGAAAGCGUGGGUAUCAAACAGGAUUAGAAACCCUUGUAGUCC
Molecule: ribosomal RNA, 445 nt
Filed under: uncultured bacterium
Lineage: Bacteria
Description: partial 16S ribosomal RNA
Rfam family: Bacterial small subunit ribosomal RNA
Source: RNAcentral